UCUACUCCAUAACUUGCCAAAAUCUCACUUUAUAGACCUAACUUGGAUUCUACUAGUUUUAGCUUGUUUUUAAACAAGUUAGGGACUCUAACAAGUCCCAAAAGACUCAACAACAUCAACCGAAAUGUCCAAUUACUCACAAAACCCCCAAUUCAAGUUUUCACUAGUCCAACCCCAAGAAUUUAGUUUUAAACCAACAUGGUCUCUAUCUAAUUACCACCACAUACUCAUAACUCAGAUUCUUUCCAUUUUAAAUGUUUGAGCAAGUCAUAAAACACUUCCUAAACUCUCCCAACUGCAUCAAACCAAUUCACCACCCCUUCCUCACAAUUUCACUACCUAGGAUCUCAUCUUUUCUUCAAAAACACCAUUAAAACUUCUAUUGUUUCAACUCUUUAAUCUCUAAACUCCAUAAUACACAUUCCAAAUAGAGAAUUUAACAUAUCAAC
Molecule: long non-coding RNA, 449 nt
Filed under: Vigna radiata
Lineage: Eukaryota; Viridiplantae; Streptophyta; Magnoliopsida; Fabales; Fabaceae
Description: long non-coding RNA (VRAD_LNC009755)
Source: RNAcentral